AUUGAACGCUGGCGGCAGGCUUAACACAUGCAAGUCGAGCGUGAAAGGGUUUCGGCCUGAGUAAAGCGGCGGACGGGUGAGUAAUACGCAGGAAUCUACCUGGUAGUGGGGGAUAACGUUUCGAAAGGGGCGCUAAUACCGCAUACGUUCUGAGGAAGAAAGCAGGGGGACCGCAAGGCCUUGUGCUAUCAGAUGAGCCUGCGUCCGAUUAGCUAGUUGGUGGGGUAAAAGCCUACCAAGGCGACGAUCGGUAACUGGUCUGAGAGGAUGAUCAGUCACACUGGAACUGAGACACGGUCCAGACUCCUACGGGAGGCAGCAGUGGGGAAUAUUGGACAAUGGGGGCAACCCUGAUCCAGCCAUGCCGCGUGUGUGAAGAAGGCCUUCGGGUUGUAAAGCACUUUAAGCUGGGAGGAAGGCUCGGAAGUUAAUACCUUCCGGGAUUGACGUUACCAGCAGAAUAAGCACCGGCAAACUUCGUG
This 482-nucleotide ribosomal RNA is filed under the name uncultured bacterium. Its description in RNAcentral is "bacterial SSU rRNA". It matches the Rfam family "Bacterial small subunit ribosomal RNA", at positions 30 to 507 of the family's 1533-position model. The record is from RNAcentral.